This 253-nucleotide ribosomal RNA is filed under the name uncultured bacterium. RNAcentral describes it as "partial 16S ribosomal RNA". It matches the Rfam family "Bacterial small subunit ribosomal RNA", at positions 524 to 776 of the family's 1533-position model. The record is from RNAcentral.
UACAGAGGUCUCAAGCGUUGUUCGGAUUCACUGGGCUUAAAGGGCGCGUAGGCGGGUCAGCAAGUCCGGGGUGAAAGCUUUCGGCUCAACCGGAAAAGGGCCUUGGAUACUGCUGGUCUGGAGGAAGGUAGGGGCGUGUGGAACUUCCGGUGGAGCGGUGAAAUGCGUAGAUAUCGGAAGGAACGCCGGUGGCGAAAGCGACACGCUGGACCUUUUCUGACGCUGAGGCGCGAAAGCCAGGGGAGCAAACGGG